Molecule: ribosomal RNA, 870 nt
Filed under: Triticum aestivum (bread wheat)
Lineage: Eukaryota; Viridiplantae; Streptophyta; Magnoliopsida; Poales; Poaceae
Description: partial small subunit ribosomal RNA
Source: RNAcentral
AUGCGUGAGUACACCUGCGGCGAUGUGAGGCCAAACCUGGUCACCUAUUCGACCUUGUUGGGCGGGCUCUGUCGUGCUGGUAAGAUGAAGGAAGCGUUUGAACUAUUUGAGGGGAUGAUCGAGAAAGACCACAUCGUGCCAGACCAGCUGACAUACAAUGUGCUCAUCAACGGGUUCUGCCGGCUGGGGCAGGUGGAGAAGGCACGGACAAUCUUUGGUUUUAUGAGGAAGAAUGAGUGUGAGCCAAAUGCUUUCAACUAUGCAACUCUUAUCAAUGGACACUGCAAGAAAGGGGAAGUGGAGAAUGCAAAGCUGGUGUUCGAGGAGAUGAGGACUGCUGGGGUGGAACCAGACGCCGUCAGCUACACGGCACUGAUCGGGUGCCUUUGUAGACAUGGGAGUGUUGAUGAGGGGAUCGAUCUUCUGAUGGAGAUGAGGGAGAAGGGAUGCAAGGCUGAUGUUGUCACAUACAAUCUGCUGCUUGAAGGGCUGUGCAAAGAUGGGCGGAUGGCGGAAGUGAUGGACUUGCUUGGGAGGUUGCCAGAGGAAGGAGUUCAGUUGAACGUCGCAAGCUAUCGGAUUGUGAUGAAUACUCUGUGCUCAAGUGGAGAUAUGGAGAAGGCCGUUGGCUUGCUGGGAUUAAUGCUCAGAAGAGGGUUUUUGCCGCACUAUGCAGCCUCAAACAAAUUGUUGAUUGGUCUGUGCGAUGUUGGGCAAGUGGCAGAUGCGACAGCCGCAUUGUAUGGAUUGGCCAAAUUUGGGUUCAUGCCAGAGGCUAGUUGUUGGGCAAAGCUGAUUGAGGCUGUGUGCCGGGACAGAAAACUUAGGAGAUCUGUUGAGCUUCUGGAUAUCUUAAUUACGGGAGGGUGA